UACGUAGGGUGCGAGCGUUGUCCGGAAUUAUUGGGCGUAAAGAGCUCGUAGGCGGUUUGUCGCGUCUGCUGUGAAAACUCAGGGCUUAACCCUGAGCCUGCAGUGGGUACGGGCAGACUAGAGUGUGGUAGGGGAGAUCGGAAUUCCUGGUGUAGCGGUGGAAUGCGCAGAUAUCAGGAGGAACACCGGUGGCGAAGGCGGAUCUCUGGGCCAUAACUGACGCUGAGGAGCGAAAGCAUGGGGAGCGAACAGG
This 253-nucleotide ribosomal RNA is filed under the name uncultured bacterium. Its description in RNAcentral is "partial 16S ribosomal RNA". It matches the Rfam family "Bacterial small subunit ribosomal RNA", at positions 524 to 776 of the family's 1533-position model. The record is from RNAcentral.